GGGAGAGGCCAAUGAAAGGAUGCGGGCGAACAUCUUCAACAUGAGAUAGUAUAAUCUUUUCUCUCUUUAUGCCUUAACGUAGCACAAAUGAGGAGGCCAUUUGGGCAAUACCUUUCUUCUUUUGAGUUGGAUGGCCAAAAUCCAAUAGAUAUAAUUUGUGAAAAUCAAUGAUAUCGAUCGCCACCGACCAAUGGAAAAACCCAUCAAGAAAAGAGGCCAAAAAGGACGAGUGCAAUAGACAGAGAGGAAAGAAGAGAAGUAGAGGGUUAAUAUUGAAGCUGCUCGCUCACAAGUAAGGAACACAGAGGAAAAGCUACCUGCUUCACACAAAGAAGCAAAUAUCUGCUAAAAAUGGCGGAGGGCGCUGUCUCAUUUCUUAUAGGAAAAUUGGGUUCUCUGAUAUCACAGGAAGCUGAUUUUCUUGGUGGAGUGAAAACGCAAAUCCUGUCUCUGCACGAUGAACUUGAGUGGAUUAACUCCUUCCUAAGAGAUGCUGAUGAAAAGCGCAGAAGCAACCGGAGGGUGAACUUGUGGGUGAGCCAAGUGAAAAACCUAGCUUUCGAUGCUGAGGAAAUCAUUGAUUUGUACAUGCUUCAAAUCGUGCGACAACGGCAAAGAAAUAUAGUGAAGAGGUUUAUGGGUUCUCGCAAAUAUCUUUUUACUCUACACAAGUUUGGAAAUCAAGUGGAGGACAUCAAAAGAAGGAUUGGAGAGAUUUCGGCUAACAGAUCCAAGUACGGGAUUGAAACUCUUGAAACUGGAGAGACUUCAACUCGUUUGGAUGAUUGCUUAGCACGAAAGAGAAGGAGAGAUAACAUGGAAGAGGAAGUUGACGUUGUUGGCUUUGAGAAAGAUAUUGAGAAACUAGCGACGCUUCUGAAGCAAGAAGAGUCCGAUCGGCAACUUCUCGUUGUUUCCAUAGUGGGUAUGGGUGGUUUAGGCAAGACCACCCUUGCUAAGAAAGUUUAUGAUAGGAGUGAUGUCAAGAACACUUUCGAUUCUUGUGCAUGGAUUUAUGUCUCUCAAGAAUACAGAAUAAAAGAUCUUCUCUCUGGGGCCAUAGCACAACUAAUGAUGCGCACGAAGGAGGAGUUAGAAAAGAAGAAUGAAGAAGAUUUGAAGAAUUUGCUCUCUAAUUACUUGAAAGAACGGAGAUGUCUGCUUGUAUUCGAUGAUGUAUGGAGGAAAGAAGAUUGGGACACAUUAAAGUUAGCAUUUCUACCACAUCGGGAUGAAAGGAAGCAACAACGAGUGUUGGUUACCACCCGUAUUAUGGAAGUAGCCAAACAUACUGAUCCAUUAAUUGCUCCAUAUGAACUCAGACUUCUGGGUGAUAAGGAGAGUUUUGAACUCUUCUCAAAGAAGGUCUUUCAAUACGAAGCAAGAAUUGAGGAAAGAAGCUACUCCAAAGAUUUGGAAGAUGUUGGAAGGAAAUUGGUUGCUAGGUGCGGUGGAUUACCACUUGCGAUUGUGGUAUUAGGAGGUCUCUUAUCGACAAAGGAGCGAACACUUAGCGUGUGGAACAAAGUAGUUGAAAGCGUGAAUUGGCAACUUAAUGAAGGGCCACAGCAAUGCAUGGACAUAUUAGCUCUGAGUUAUACAGACUUACCGUAUUACUUGCAAUCUUGUUUUCUCUAUUUUGGUCUUUACCCAGAAGACUAUGAGAUCUCUUCUGAAAAAUUGAUUCGAUUAUGGGUUGCAGAGGGGUUUAUACUACAGAGAGGAGAGGAAACUAUGGAAGAUACUGCUGAGGAGUACCUAGAAGAGUUGAUCGAUAGGAGCAUGAUCCAAGCAGCAAGUAGGAGACCAGAUGGAGGUGUUGAAAAAUGUCGUAUCCAUGAUCUCUUGCGGGACUUGGCAGUUUCAGAAGCCAAGAAAGAUAAGCUUCUUGAAAUAUAUGGGACUAGUAACUGUUCCGCUAGUUCUCUAAGCAGAUUUCGUCGGCUUGUGAUCCAUCCAAACAACAAUGGUAUGCACCCUAUAUCGAGUUCCACUCUUCACCAUCUUCAUUCCUUCUUGUGCUUCAGUAAAAUCCUCGAAAAAAAUGAGUGGAAGGGUCUUUAUGUGGGGUUCAAUCUGCUUAGAGUAUUAGAUUUACAGUAUGUGACAACUCUUAAGGAUUUACCCAAGGAAAUUGGAGGCCUCGUCCUUCUAAAGUACUUGAACUUGUGUAGAACCAGACUACGAAGAAUUCCACACUCAAUGGGAAACCUCUGCAAUCUACAAACUUUAGAUCUAUCCGACACAUACAUCAGACACAUACCCAAGGAAAUAUGGAGAAUGCAACAACUAAGACAUCUUUCUAUUUCCGGCAUAUAUCAUCCUCCAAAUUUAGUUGAAUGCAUAGAAAAGGUUGUCACUAAGAUUGGUCGAAGUUGUUGUCGUCGUCCACCCAGAGUAGAUAAUCUGAGGGACCUCCAGACGCUACAUCUACCUGCAGGCAGUUGGAUAGAAGGUGGUCUUAACAAGUUGACAAAUCUGAGAGAACUCCAGAUAGAGGGAAAGUUGAGUUUGUAUACGAGGGCAUUAACCAACUCUAUUGACAAAUUGAAAAAACUUAAAGUGUUGCACUAAUGGGGAAAAUAUGAAAUCGGAGAUUAUUUGCCUUUUGUUUCGUUUUCACACCAUGUGCACCUCUACAAAUUGGAGUUGUAUGGAAGGCUAGAGAAGAUACCUGCCCCUGAGGAUUUUCCACCAUAUCUCAUAGAGUUGACAUUGUAUGGUUCGCAUCUAAAGCAAGACGACCAACCAAUGUCAACACUAGAGAAGCUACCAAACUUGAAGAUUCUCGAAUUAGGAUGGGACGCAUUUGAAGGAAAGGAAAUGAUUUGUGCUGGAGGAGGUUUUGCUAAACUCCAAAAUUUGCAUCUUGCUCUGUUACGUAACUUGGAGGAUUUGAAGGUGGAGCAAGGAGCAUUCCCCUUCCUCAAAGUUUUAACUAUUUAUGAAUGCAAAAAAUUAAAGAUGCUUCCAGAUGGGCUGCAACACGUCACUAUCCUCCAAGAGCUCAAAAUAGGCCGCAUGCCGUGGGAAUUCGAAGCGAGAGUACAAAAAGACACGGGAAAGGAUUGGGAAAAGAUAAAGCACAUACCCUCUGUCACCAUUUUUUGAUUAAAUGGAAGAGCAGCAAGUCCUAUUAUUCCUACACAUUACAAAGAGUCCACAGGAGGCAGUGAUCAAAUAAGGACUACAACAACGGCUUGACAGAGCAAUGCAGAUGGGAAGCAUAUGGUCAGAUUCUCAAGAGUUAGCAAAAUGGUUGAAGGUGGCAAUGGCCAUUGGGAUUUUUAUAUCUCUUAAUUUGAUUUGACUUAUGCAAUCCAGUUAUUAAAAUAAAUUAUGUUUGUAAACAUUAUUAAACAUGAAAGAUUUUAUAUGCAUGGGUGUGAUGGAUAGAUUAGAAAAUAACAUGCUAUAAGAUGAGUAAGCAUUGUGGGAAUCUAUUUGAACCUGUUAUUCUCGGCUUCUCAAGGUUAUGACAUUUUUCAUAUUCAAGAAAAAUAAAUAAAUAAAUCUUGGCACUGA
This is an RNA transcript of Macadamia integrifolia, 3525 nucleotides long. It is a transcript of the gene named disease resistance protein RPP13-like, with no coding region annotated. The transcript has 3 exons. The record is from RefSeq and is a predicted model, not a curated record. NCBI's taxonomy places the organism in Eukaryota, Viridiplantae, Streptophyta, Magnoliopsida, Proteales, Proteaceae.